Molecule: long non-coding RNA, 4066 nt
Filed under: Salmo salar (Atlantic salmon)
Lineage: Eukaryota; Metazoa; Chordata; Actinopteri; Salmoniformes; Salmonidae
Description: lncRNA (ENSSSAG00000082180.1)
Source: RNAcentral
GUUUAGACACACCUACUCAUUCAAAGGUUUUUCUUUAUUUUUACUAUUUUCUACAUUUUAGAAUAAUAGUGAAGACAUCGAAACUAUGAAAACAACACAUAUGGAAUUAUGUAGUAACUAAAAAAGUGCUAAACAAAUCAAAAUAUAUUUUAUGUUUGAGAUUCUUCAAAGUUGCCACCCUUUGCCUUGAUGACAGCUUGGACCACGCUUGGCAUUCUCUCAACUAGCUUCACCUGGAAAUCUUUUCCAACAUUCUUGAAUGAGUUCCCACAUAUGCUGAGCACUUGUUGGCUGCUUUUCCUUCACUCUGCGGUCCAACUCAUCCCAAACCAUCUCAAUUGGGUUGAGGUCGGGUGAUUGUGGAGGCCAGGUCAUCUGAUGCAGCACUCCAUCACUCUCCUUCUUGGUCAAAUAGCCCUUACACAGCCUGGAGGUGUGUUGGGUCAUUGUCCUGUUGAAAAAAAAUAUAUAGUCCCACUAAACGCAACCAGAUGGGAUGGUGUAUCGCUGCAGAAUGCUGUGGUAGCCAUGCUGGUUAAGUGUGCCUUGAAUUCUAAAUAAAUCACUGACAGUGUCACCAGCAAAGCACCCCCACACCAUAACACCUCCUCCAUGCUUCACGGUGGGAACCACACAUGCAGAAAUCAUCUGUUCACCUAUUCUGCGUCUCACAAAGACACGGCGGUUGGAACCAAAAAUCUCACAUUUGGACUCAUCAGACCAAAGGACAGAUUUCCACAGGUCUAAUGUCCAUUGCUCGUGUUUCUUGGCCCAAGCAAGUCUCUUCUUAUUAUUGGUGUCCUUUAGUAGUGGUUUCUUUGCAGCAAUUUGACCAUGAAGGCCUAAUUCACACAGUCUCCUCUGGUCAGUUGAUGUUGAGAUGUGUCUGUUACUUGAACUCUGUGAAGCAUUAAUUUGGGCUGCAAUUUCUGAGGCUGGUAACUCUAAUGAACUUACCCUCUGUAGCAGAGGUAACUCUGGGUCUUCCUUUCCUGUGGUUGUCCUCAUGAGAGCCAGUUUCAUCAUAGGGUUUGAUGGUUUUUGCAACUGCACUUGAAGAAACUUUCAAAGUUCUUCAAAUUCUCCGCAUUGACUGACCUUCAUGUCUUAAAGUAAUGAUGGACUGUCGUUUCUCUUUGCUUAUUUGAGCUGUUCUUGCCGUAAUAUGGACCUGGUCUUUUACCAAAUACGGCUAUCUUCUGUAUACCAACCCUACCUUGUCACAACACAACUGAUUGUCUCAAAGCCGUUAAGAAGGAAAGAAAUUACACAAAUUUACUUUUAACAAGGCACACCUGUUAAUUGAAAUGCAUUCCAUGAAGCAUUCCAUUCUCAUGAAGCUAGUUGAGAGAAUGCCAACAGUGUGCAAAGCUGUCAUCAAGGCAAAGGGUGGCUACUUUGAAGAAUCUCAAAUAUAUAAUAUUUUUUUAUUUGUUUAGCAGUUUUUUGGUUUCUACGUGAAUCCAUAAGUGUUAUUUCAUAGUUUUGAUAUCUUCACUAUUAUUCUACAAUGUAGAAAGUUGUAAAAAUAUAGAAAAACCCUUGAAUGAGUAGGUGUGUCCAACAUUUUGACUGAUACUGUGCACAAAAUAUAAACACAACAUGUAAAGUGUUGGUCCCAUGUUUCUUGAGCUAAAUUUUUCAAAGAAAUGUUCCAUACGCACAAAAAACUUUUUUUCUCUAAAAUGUUGUGCACACAUUUUUUUACAUCCCUGUUAGUGAGCAUUUCUCCUUUGUCAAAAUUAUCCAUCCACCUGACAGGUGUGGCAUAUCAAGAAGCUGAUUAAACAGCAUGAUCGUUACACAGGUGCACCUUGUGCUGGGGACAAUAAAAUGCCACUCUAAAAUGUGUAGUUUUGUCACACAACACAAUACCACAGAUGUCUCAAGUUUUGAGAGAGCGUGCAUAUUGGCAUGCUGACUGCAGGAAUGUCCACCAGAGCUGUUGCCAGAGAAUUGAACAUUCAUUUCUCAACCAUAAGCCGCCUCCAACAUCAUUUGAGAGAACCGCAGACAACCGUUGACCACGUGUAUUGCGUCAUGUGGGGGAGCGGUUUGCUGAUGUCAACGUUGUGAACAGAAUGUGCCCCAUGGUGGAGGUGGGGUUAUGGUAUGGGCCCCAUGGUGGAGGUGGGGUUAUGGUAUGGGCCCCAUGGUGGAGGUGGUGUUAUGGUAUGGGGCAGGCAUAAGCUACGGACAACAAACAAAAUUGCAUUUUAUCAAUGGAAAUUUGAAUGCACAGAGAUACCGUGAUGAGAUCCUGAGGCCCAUUGUAAGUAAUAAUAGAAACAUAAAACAUAUAGUCACUUAUUUAGAAAGUAUUCAUACUCCUUGACUUAUUAUACAUUUUGUUGUGUUACAUCCUGAAUUCAAAAAAUAUUAAAUGUAGAUGUAUUUUCUCGCCCAUCUACAUACAAUACCUCAUAAAGACAAAGUGAAAACUUGUUUGUAGCUUUUUUUUGUUGUAAAUUUGUUGCAAAUUAAAUUAAAAAAUAUCUAAUUUACGUAAGUAUUCACUCCCCUGGGUCAAUACGUGUUAGAAUCACUCUUGGCAGCAAAUCACCUUUGGGGCAGCUGCGUGGCCUAGUGGUUAGAGUGUUGGACUAGUAACCAGGAGGUUGCAAGAUCAAAUCUGCAAGUUUGAAUCCCUAAGCUGACAAGGUAAAAAUCUGUUGUUCUGAACAAGGCAGUUAACCCACUGUUCCUAGGCUUUCAAUGAAAAUAAGAAUUUGUUCUUAACUGACUUGCCUGGUUAAAUAAAAACCUUUGGCAGUGAUUACAGAUAUGAGUCUUUCUGGGUCUAAGAGCUUUGCACAUUAUUAUUUUUUAAAUUCUUCAAGCUCUGUCAAGUUGGUUUUUGAUCAUUGCUAGACAGCAAUUUAAGUCAAAACUGUAACUCGGCCACUCAGGAACAUUCAGUGUCAUCUUGGAAAGCAAGUCCAGUGUAGAUUUGGCGUUGUGUUUUAGGUUAUUGACCUGCUGAACAGAGAAUUAGUCUUUGUGUCUGUUGGAAAUCAGACUGAAACAGGAUUUUGCCUGUGCUUAGCUUUAUUCCGUUUCUUUGUAUCCUUAAUGCCGAUGACAAGCAUACCCAUAACAUGAUGCAGCCACCACCAUGCUUAAACGUAUGAAGAGUGGUACGGAGUAAUGUGUUGUAUUCACCCCAAACAUAACACUUUGUGUUCAGAACAUAAAGUUUGUUUCUUAGCCACAUUUCUUUGCAGUUUUCCUUUAGUGCCUUGUUGCCACAUUUUUUGCAGUAAUACUUCAGUGCCUUGUUGCAAACAGGAUGGAUGUUUUGGAAUAUUUGUAUUCUGUACAGGCUUCCUUCUUUUCACUCUGUCAUUUAGGUUAGUAUUGUGAAGUAACUACAAUGUUGUUGAUCCAUCUUCAGUUCUCUCCUACCACAGCCAUUAAACUCUGUAACUGUUUUAAAGUCACCAUUGGCCUCAUGGUGAAAUCCCUGAGCGGUUUCCUUCCUGUCCGGCAACUGAGUUAGAAGAUACGCCUAUAUCUUUGUAGUGACUGGGUGUAUUGAUACACCAUCCAAAGUGUAAUUGACUUCACCAUGCUGAAAGUGACUCAAUGUCUGCUUUUUUAAAUUGACCCGUCUACCAACAGGUGCCCUUCUUUGCGAGGCAUUGGAAAACCUCCCUGGUCUUUAUGGUUGAAUCUGUGUUUGAAAUUCCCUGCUCGACUGAGGGACCUUACAGAUAAUUGUGUGUGUGGGGGUACAGAGAUGAAGUCCAACUUAUUAUGUGACUAGUUAAGCACAUUACUACUCCUGAAAUGAUUUAGGCUUCCCAUAACACUUUUUGACUGACUCAAGACAUUUCACUCUCUGCAGUAAAUCAUCUGCUCUACAGUAAAUCAUCCGCUCUGCUGUAAAUCAUCUGCUCUACAGUAAAUCAUCCUCUCUGCAGUAAAUCAUCUGCUCUACAGUAAAUCAUCCGCUCUGCAGUAAAUCAUCCGCUCUACAGUAAAUCAUCCUCUCUGCAGUAAAUCAUCCGCUCUGCAGUAAAUCAUCCUCUCUGCAGUAAAUCAUCCGCUCUACAGUAAAUCAUCC